This 390-nucleotide ribosomal RNA is filed under the name uncultured cyanobacterium. RNAcentral describes it as "partial 16S ribosomal RNA". Lineage: Bacteria; Bacillati; Cyanobacteriota. The record is from RNAcentral.
CUUUGUCCCUAANGGUCAGANUGANGGUCCAGNUAGGAGCGCUUUCGCCACCGGNAUGUUUCUUCCCAAUCUCUACGCAUUUCACCGCUACACUGGGAAUUCCCUCUACCCCUACCNUNCUCUAGCUAUUCAGUUUCCACCGCCUAUCCAGAGUUAAGCUCCGGUCUUUGACAGCAGACUUGAANAGCCACCUGCGGACGCUUUACGCCCAAUAAUUCCGGAUAACGCUUGCCUCCUCCGUAUUACCGCGGCUGCUGGCACGGAGUUAGCCGAGGCUUAUUCCUCAGGUACCGUCAGAACUUCUUCCCUGAGAAAAGAGGUUUACAAUCCAAAAACCUUCUUCCCUCACGCGGUAUUGCUCCGUCAGGCUUGCGCCCAUUGCGGAAAAUU